This is a long non-coding RNA of Symsagittifera roscoffensis, 509 nucleotides long. RefSeq lists it as uncharacterized. Lineage: Eukaryota; Metazoa; Xenacoelomorpha; Acoela; Convolutidae. The transcript is spliced from 2 exons. The record is from RefSeq and is a predicted model, not a curated record.
ACAAGUUCGUCUCCUGGGGCAAUGGAGUGUGCAUGGGUAGGUACAAAGAGACAGUCUGCUGCUCUGGUCUGUGUCUGCCGUCUGAGCUGAAGCCAUACCACCACUACUAUCUAGAGGCCAAAUACACCCCCUUCGACGAAGUGUUCCUGUGUUCUUCUCAGCCUUCCACGGAAGUCACCUUGGUGACCUUGGACUGUCCGGACGGAUUUGACCCUGUCAAAGUCGAGGUCGCCUUGGGUCAAUCGUGCGUGUGCAAAAAGUCAUCUUUGGAGGAAUUUCUGGCCACAAUAGACCCGUAGUUGCUAUAGAGCAGAAGCUUCCAAAAAACUCAAAAAACAAUUUUGUAAGCUUGUUUUGAGUAACCGGCUCAAACUUAAUUGAAAGCAGAAACUUGAAAAACGUGAUCUGUCAUGCUUUCAUUUCUAGUCAUAGUAACAUUUUGUAUAUCGAUUAAUACUAUAAACCUAUUUAGGCACCUAGACAAGAAAUUAGCUCAUGUUUUGUAAGAA